RNAcentral lists this long non-coding RNA (1887 nucleotides) under Equus caballus (horse). RNAcentral describes it as "lncRNA (ENSECAG00000058880.1)". Lineage: Eukaryota; Metazoa; Chordata; Mammalia; Perissodactyla; Equidae. The record is from RNAcentral.
CUCUUCUCCUCUGCCUGGAGCCAGUUGCCAAGGCACGGAGAUGACCCAGGGACGCAUGGCCCUUCCCACCUGUGACUGGGCGGUGAGGCUGCAAGGUCCCUGGGCAGCUCCUGCUCUCACUGCCUCCCCGAGGUGCCCCUCAGAGACCCUGUGAGUGAGAAUGCUCAGCCCACAGAAGUGCCCCUGGCCACUUGCCCUGCUCCAUCCACCCCAAGGAUGCCCCUGACUCCAGGAGGAUGAACCCCUGAGCUAGACACAUCUGUCCAUCCAGCCCCAUUUCCCGGGAUGCGCAUAGAGUCCAGCAUGUGGGGGAAGUUAUUUACUCAGAGGCAAAGGCUGCAGCCCCAUCUCAGGGCCCUGGGGCCCCCUGUGGCCUGUCUGUGAGGGGUCUCUGGUCAGGCACCAGCUGUCUGCAGAGCCACCUUCUCCUCCAUGCCUCUUCUACACCGGGCUUUGCAAACAUUGGUAAGCAUCGGGAUCACUCGGGGGCUUGUGACAGCCCCCCGCCCCCCACAGCCCUGAGUCAGCAGGUCUCGAGGGAGGUCAGAGCCAGCUCCCAGGGGAGGCAGACGCUGCAGGUCUGGACUAGACACAGGGAAGUGCUGGAUGACACAAGUCCCAUGGCUGCUGCCCAUCUCCUCCCCCCUCGGGGUGGGGGAUGUGCCGCAGUCUCUCUCAUCCCGUCUGGGAGUUCCAGUUAUCCUCCGGUCCUCCCCACUCUCAAGCCCAGAUCCUUUUACCCACCCUGCUUGAGACGGGAGGCUAAGCAACUCGGGGUGUACAGUCCUGGCAUCACCCUCCUGCCAGGGCCCUGGAAGCCGCCACUGGGCGCGAAAGAGCCCAGACCAUUUCAGACCAAUCUCCUGCGCUCUAACUAGGGGGAGUGGGCCUGAGGGCCUGUGACAGUCCUUCCAGCUCCUGAGCCACAGCAAACACGUCUUCCCUCACGUGCCUUUAGACUGUGUCUAGUUAUCCACCAGCACAAACAGUGACCUCAAAUUGUAGUGGCUAAAACAGCAGUCUGUUAUGACUCUGUCCCUUGGUUCUGUGGGUGAGAAAUGGAGACAGGCUACAGCUGGAAUGGCCCAUCUCUGCUCCAUGAUGUCAGGGUCUCCACUGGGAGAAGGUAAACUGAGCCGGCCUCUCUCUCUCUCUCUCUCUCUCUCUCUCUCUCUCUCGUCACCACCUUUCUCUGUGGGGAGCUUGGGCUUCCUCGCAGCAUGGCGGACUCAGGUUAGUCGAAUGGCUAAUGGGUGGACAUUGCAAGCCUCCUUAAGACAUAGCCUCUGAAGUCCCAGAACAUCCCUUCCAUCACAGCCUAUGGUUACGGAAUUCAGGAAGGCAGGCCUCUCAGACCACCUCCCAGAUGAACUGUCCGCCCCCAGUCCUGUCUCAGCGUCUGCUGCAGGGGCGCCUGAGCGAGGAGCAUGGUGGGGACUUCAGAGGCACGCAGAAAACGUCCAAUGCGUGUCAGCAGUUACUACUAUUGUUGCCUUCUGGAAAUGCAUUACCUUAUAAUAGAGUUAGUUUCCUCAUCCGGAUGCAGAUGAUCCCAUAGAAAUGUAACAACCUGAUCCCUGACCGACAUCAUGACCAAACCGUGCGGGCACCUGUUUCCUUCUCAGCCCUGCAAGAUCGGAGAAAGCUCGCUGCCCUCGUGUGAACCACCCAGUGAGGCCCGUCAAGAGGAGAUGAGCGUUAACAAUGGUCGGCUCUGGUGUAAAUCUGCCGGGUCAGCUCCACUGGACCAUAACGGACAGAAAUCCAGGCCCUUUUUGGGUUUUUCUGUGUACAGUUGUCCUAAACCUGAAAUAUAUGUGAUGCAUUCCACAUAUUGCUACUUUUUCUGCUGCAAUUAUGCCUCUGUGUUAUUAAACACAUACGCCA